GAUGAACGCUGGCGGCGUGCUUAACACAUGCAAGUCGAACGGAAAGGCCCAAGCUUGCUUGGGUCCUCGAGUGGCGAACGGGUGAGUAACACGUGGGUGAUCUGCCCUGCACUUCGGGAUAAGCCUGGGAAACUGGGUCUAAUACCGGAUAGGACCACUUCUUGGAUGUUGUGGUGGAAAGUUUUUUCGGUGUGGGAUGAGCUCGCGGCCUAUCAGCUUGUUGGUGGGGUAAUGGCCUACCAAGGCGUCGACGGGUAUCCGGCCUGAGAGGGUGUACGGCCACAUUGGGACUGAGAUACGGCCCAGACUCCUACGGGAGGCAGCAGUGGGGAAUAUUGCACAAUGGGCGCAAGCCUGAUGCAGCGACGCCGCGUGGGGGAUGACGGCCUUCGGGUUGGAAACUCCUUUCGCUAGGGACGAAGCGUUUUGUGACGGUACCUGGAGAAGAAGCACCGGCUAACUACGUG
This 467-nucleotide ribosomal RNA is filed under the name uncultured bacterium. RNAcentral describes it as "partial 16S ribosomal RNA". It matches the Rfam family "Bacterial small subunit ribosomal RNA", at positions 28 to 507 of the family's 1533-position model. The record is from RNAcentral.